This 257-nucleotide ribosomal RNA is filed under the name Actinomyces naeslundii. Its description in RNAcentral is "partial 16S ribosomal RNA". It matches the Rfam family "Bacterial small subunit ribosomal RNA", at positions 1 to 235 of the family's 1533-position model. Lineage: Bacteria; Bacillati; Actinomycetota; Actinomycetes; Actinomycetales; Actinomycetaceae. The record is from RNAcentral.
UUUGUUUGGAGAGUUUGAUCCUGGCUCAGGACGAACGCUGGCGGCGUGCUUAACACAUGCAAGUCGAACGGUGAAGGGACUGGUUUUGCUGGUUCUGGAUGAGUGGCGAACGGGUGAGUAACACGUGAGUAACCUGCCCCCUUCUUCUGGAUAACCGCAUGAAAGUGUGGCUAAUACGGGAUAUUCUGGGUCUGUCGCAUGGUGGGCCUGGGAAAGAUUGCGCUUUUUUGGUGUUUUUGGUGGGGGAUGGGCUCGCG